Molecule: long non-coding RNA, 554 nt
Filed under: Piliocolobus tephrosceles (Ugandan red Colobus)
Lineage: Eukaryota; Metazoa; Chordata; Mammalia; Primates; Cercopithecidae
Description: lncRNA (ENSPTEG00000013696.1)
Source: RNAcentral
AGGGCCAAAAAAAAAAAAAAAAAACGAUUUACAUAAUUGAUAUGUGUAAACAUAACAUAUUUAACUUUAAACGUAUGUUCAUCUCGAUAGAACACCUUUUUAUUAGUUCAUUUUAUAUUUUUUUUUUUUUUUUUUCGCAGGUUUAAUAUCAAACAUAAUUUUUUUACAAAAAAACACAAAAGAGGAGUUGGUGCAAAUCCUAAAUGAAAAAAAUAAAAACGUAAAUAAAUAUUUUGAUAUAUAUAAACACGGAAUUAUAAAAAUUUUUAAUUUUGACUUUUCAAACAUUGACACAGGUGAAACAGAUAAAGACUAUGAGUUUGAUUUUCUUUGUGUGGCUGUUUUGAUCUACGAAAUGUGCACCAAAUAUAACACUUACUACUCCAAUGAAUUUAAACAAAUUUCGGAUACCAUUAAUAAGACCAAUUUAUAUUUCCCUCAUUUUGUAUCAUUUGAAUUAAAAAAUUUUUGCUAUGAGGUAAUACCUAGAUAAAUAAAUAAAUAACUAUAAAUAGAUAAAUAAAUAAAUAGAUAAAUAGAUAGAUAGAUAGAUA